GAUGAAGACAUCCCAUUUAAGACAGAGGGU
RNAcentral lists this non-coding RNA (30 nucleotides) under Mus musculus (house mouse). Lineage: Eukaryota; Metazoa; Chordata; Mammalia; Rodentia; Muridae. The record is from RNAcentral.